UGCAGUCGAACGAUGAUGCCCAGCUUGCUGGGUUGAUUAGUGGCGAACGGGUGAGUAACACGUGAGUAACCUGCCCCUGACUCUGGGAUAAGCGUUGGAAACGACGUCUAAUACUGGAUAUGAUCGCCGGCCGCAUGGUCUGGUGGUGGAAAGAUUUUUUGGUUGGGGAUGGACUCGCGGCCUAUCAGCUUGUUGGUGAGGUAAUGGCUCACCAAGGCGACGACGGGUAGCCGGCCUGAGAGGGUGACCGGCCACACUGGGACUGAGACACGGCCCAGACUCCUACGGGAGGCAGCAGUGGGGAAUAUUGCACAAUGGGCGAAAGCCUGAUGCAGCAACGCCGCGUGAGGGAUGACGGCCUUCGGGUUGUAAACCUCUUUUAGUAGGGAAGAAGCGAAAGUGACGGUACCUGCAGAAAAAGCACCGGCUAACUACGUGCCAGCAGCCGCGGUAAUACGUAGGGUGCAAGCGUUGUCCGGAAUUAUUGGGCGUAAAGAGCUCGUAGGCGGUUUGUCGCGUCUGCUGUGAAAUCCCGAGGCUCAACCUCGGGCUUGCAGUGGGUACGGGCAGACUAGAGUGCGGUAGGGGAGAUU
Molecule: ribosomal RNA, 593 nt
Filed under: bacterium 71-L049616-122-011-G09
Lineage: Bacteria
Description: bacterial SSU rRNA
Rfam family: Bacterial small subunit ribosomal RNA
Source: RNAcentral